CUGGUAGAAGAGAAAGAAGGAAGUAGUCUCGAAUACAUUGGCAUAGGAGAUCACUUCCUAAAUAUAACACCAGUAGCAUAGACACUGAGAGAAACAAUCAAUCAAUGGGACCUAUUGAAACU
Non-coding RNA from Peromyscus maniculatus bairdii (prairie deer mouse), 122 nucleotides. The record is from RefSeq and is a predicted model, not a curated record. NCBI's taxonomy places the organism in Eukaryota, Metazoa, Chordata, Mammalia, Rodentia, Cricetidae.